CAAAAAAAAAAAAAAAAAAAAAGUAAAAUCUUGGGUAAAAUCGAGGUGGUGGCAGGGUUUGCAUCCCUUUCGGUGGCGCGAGGGGACAUCUGAAGACGGAAGAAACCACAAGCCAAGGAAUUCUGGAAGGGGGAUAAAGCAGGGAAACAAAGUCUGGAUCCUCUUUCGCUGCCAAGUUGGCAGCGCAUAUUUGAAAUCUCUGAUACUCGCCGUACGUUAUUUUACUCUUGUGAGUAUACUGGGACCCUAUUGCAUAAUCCAGGAUAAUUUCCUUGAUUUAAGUUGGGCUGGUUUACAAACUUAAUUCCUCUUUUGUCUACUCCCUCUUGUCGUAACAGAACAUGUUUAUGGGUUCUAAGAAUUAGGAUGUUGACAACUUUGGGGGGUGCUCUUAUCUGUCUACUUUGUGGUAGUUUAUUUGAAUGUGAUCCCUAGGAUCCCAGAGGAGCAGGGAACCUGAGAUCAGUUGAAGUGGUGGGGGUUAAGCUGGUCACCAGUACAGGUGACUCGUACCCAUUCCCACUUGCAUCCUACACGACACCUCAUAGGGUUCCAUCUCAUAACUGCCUCCUGGGGUCCAAAGUCUGGCCAUCUCAUCUGCCCAUCACUCUUGGUUAUGUAUCAGAUGACUUUGUGGGUCAUCCCCUCUGCAGAGGAUUUCAGAUGGUCCAGUGAAGUGUAUCACUUUCUUCAUGGCCUGGAAAGGGUUUGUUGGGAUCCAGGACAACUCUGGUCUCCUCUUGCCACUGGGGAUUAAAUCCCUACGCUCUCAGAUUUCUGGGUCUUAAAUGUGCUGAGGGACCAUCUCCCAAUAACUGUUGCCAUGGAUACGGGUUCAGUAUCUUCAUGUGGCGAUAUCUUCAGGCAUUGAUCAUCUUUGAUCUGUGGAUUCCAUUUUCCAUUUCUCUUGGGGUUAUACUCUGUCUGAAAAUGUCUUUUUAGAAGUCAUCAACCUAGGAAAAUCUCUGCCCUAUUGAAGUAUAGUCUAGCCUGAUUGAAUGUAAAUCUGUUAGCUAAGCUGAUAGAUGCUCUUAAUGUUGGGUGUGUCUGCUGGAAAGCACACAGAGAAAGCGCGGGGUGAGUUCAGGAAGGUUGUAGCCAGAUGCUAACUAACUUCUUUUCACUUUGCUGACUUACUGCUCUGGGCGGCUAGGACUCUGUCUGGAACCCUGGAAUGUGAAUCCCUUUCAAUCACUACCCUGCUAACCCUGCUGGGCUGCACUGACUUCAUCCAAUAAGUGUGAGCCAGGGGAUUCUGUGCGCAGAACCCAGGAGGUGAUAAACGGCUCUUGUUUUAAGCCACUAGGUUAGUGCUGACUUAUUAUAGAGCAGUAGAGAACAAAUAGCUUUGCAAAAGCCUUGCUCCAUAUGGCCUUAUCCGGGGUUUUUGGAGCUGAUGGUGCUGUGCAGGGUGAGCUGGGUGGAGCUGCCCUCAUUUCUGCAGCAGCUUGUGGGGUGAAGGAGCGCUCAGCCUCUGCCGCCAUAGUUCUUAAGCAUAUUAGCCUUCUUUUCACCUCCUCACUUUCUCAUCAUAGGAUUUCCUUAUGCAGGACAUGAGCCACUUGAAAGGCCAUGUGACUUUUCUGUGAUACUACGCGAUGUGUUUAAACAUGGGCCACUUGGCCGUCUUCGUGUGUCACUUGUAUAGAUCAGAACUGUCUCUUAGGUGGAUGCAAAUGAUGACUGAUCUCCAAAAUGCACAUCCCUGCACUAGUUACAAGGGAAACAAAAAUGAAGACUAGAAAACCUCCAAGGUGCUCGCAAGCCUCGAAUAUGAUUUUUUUCAUACAGGGAACCCUUUCUUUCCAUUAUUUGAAGGUGUACAUACAUACCUACAGACCUCACAAGGUACUGACUAUGCAUGGUGUUAUAGUUGUAGUCAAAAUAGAUUAAAGUAAAAUCCAGAAUAAAAAUGUUAAGAAGGACAACUUUUAUACUGGGAAAGUCUAAUUCUGGAUAAGAUUCCUUACAUCCUACCUGCUGCGACCGUCUUCUGCAGAGCGAGUGAGUGAAGGAACAGUCUGCCUUCCUACAGGCGUCCCAGGCGAGAUGCUGGGUGGGGUCAGAGUCCUCUCCACAGGGAGUCCUGCUUUGGAGGGUUGUGGGGCAGGUGGGCAGGGGGUAUGGGGAUGAGUAGCCGUGUCUGGUGAGCCGCAAACCAGUCGGCAGCCAGGAGCAUCCCCAGCUUCCUAAGGGACAGCCCUGGUGAAAUUACCAACCUCCCAUUGGGGAUUUUAUGCUGUCAAGGUCAACUCACUUUGGUUGAUGGAAACCUAGGCAUAGGAAGCAAGCCGGCCCCACAGCCAGGACCCUCCCAGUUGGAGAGUCUCAGGCCAGAGUUUGAAGUGUGUGUGCUCAGAUACAGACUACCUCCCUCCUGGCUUAACCUGAAGGAGCCUCAGCAUCUCAGGCACACUUCACAUGGGCCUCGAUGCCGUGCGACUUCUCUACCUGGUCUAUUCCCUGCCAAAGUUACAAUUUCGUUGUUUUAAAAUACAGAUGUUAUCCUCUUUCUGCAGGUGGGAUAUGUCACAAAGCAUGUGUGGGUGAAAUGCCUGUCUCUUAAAAUGGGGGUUCUGAUGCUGUCUCAGCACCAACCACGUGCUUGAGAGGAAACGCCUCCCACCUUAGAAACUGCGGGUACCAUUGGUUGAAUUUGUUUCCCAGAGAAAAAGACCCAACCACUCCUCUGGUCACCAGUCCAGGGAGCAGCCCAGAUCCAUGCUCUGAGGUCGAGAGGAUCCAGUGGCUACCAUGAAGUGUACACAGAACAUGGAUCUCCCACCUCCAUCGCCAAGACUUCAUGGAAGUUAUAUUCUACGCUUUGUCAACUGAAAAAGAACGCCCAAGCUGAGAGAAAAGACAUUGCUUACUGCCAAGAAGAAAGUGUAAAACUGGGAAUAUUUCACUUUUAAAUGCACAAAGAGAAAACUUCUGGGAACAGCAAACAUCCUUGGACCUCUGGGCCUCGGGUGGUCUUCUGUACUCUUGGUUGUGAGGCUCUAAAAGCCAUUCUACCAGAAAAAGUUCCAACCCCAACUCCACAACCUGUGUUUGGCCACAGACAUGACGUGACAAAGAGACGUGCUUAGCCUUACAUCCUUCCUCUGUUAAAAUAAAACAAAUUCUACCUUCCUCAUACCGUGGUAGUGGAAAUUAAACAAGACAACGUUCAUGCAUUCCUCGGAA
Non-coding RNA from Sus scrofa (pig), 3189 nucleotides. NCBI's taxonomy places the organism in Eukaryota, Metazoa, Chordata, Mammalia, Artiodactyla, Suidae. The record is from RefSeq and is a predicted model, not a curated record.